UCGACGGUGAUGGGGGGCUUGCUCCUCUGAUCAGUGGCGAACGGGUGAGUAACACGUGAGUAACCUGCCCUUCACUCUGGGAUAACGCUGGGAAACUGGUGCUAAUACUGGAUACGACCUGAACAGGCAUCUGUAUCGGGUGGAAAGAUUUAUUGGUGGAGGAUGGACUCGCGGCCUAUCAGCUUGUUGGUGAGGUAAUGGCUUACCAAGGCGACGACGGGUAGCCGGCCUGAGAGGGCGAUCGGCCACACUGGGACUGAGACACGGCCCAGACUCCUACGGGAGGCAGCAGUGGGGAAUAUUGCACAAUGGGCGAAAGCCUGAUGCAGCGACGCCGCGUGAGGGAUGAAGGCCUUCGGGUUGUAAACCUCUUUCAGCAGGGAAGAAGCGCCUGGGUUUUCUUGGGUGUGACGGUACCUGCAGAAGAAGCACCGGCUAACUACGUGCCAGCAGCCGCGGUAAUACGUAGGGUGCGAGCGUUGUCCGGAAUUAUUGGGCGUAAAGAGCUUGUAGGCGGUUUGUCGCGUCUGCUGUGAAAUUUCGGGACUCAACCCCGAACUUGCAGUGGGUACGGGCAGACUAGAGUGUGGUAGGGGAGACUGGAAUUCCUGGUGUAGCGGUGAAAUGCGCAGAUAUCAGGAGGAACACCGAUGGCGAAGGCAGGUCUCUGGGCCACUACUGACGCUGAGAAGCGAAAGCAUGGGGAGCGAACAGGAUUAGAUACCCUGGUAGUCCAUGCCGUANACGUUGGGAACUAGGUGUGGGCNUCAUUCCACGAGGUCCGUGCCGCAGCUAACGCAUUAAGUUCC
This 809-nucleotide ribosomal RNA is filed under the name uncultured bacterium. RNAcentral's name for it is "bacterial SSU rRNA". It matches the Rfam family "Bacterial small subunit ribosomal RNA", at positions 62 to 868 of the family's 1533-position model. The record is from RNAcentral.